Molecule: ribosomal RNA, 342 nt
Filed under: Menegazzia subsimilis
Lineage: Eukaryota; Fungi; Ascomycota; Lecanoromycetes; Lecanorales; Parmeliaceae
Also listed under: 1 other name
Description: eukaryotic LSU rRNA
Rfam family: Eukaryotic large subunit ribosomal RNA
Source: RNAcentral
AUUGCCUCAGUAACGGCGAGUGAAGCGGCAAGAGCUCAAAUUUGAAAUCUGGCCCCGUCGGGGUCCGAGUUGUAAUUUGUAGAGAGUGUUUCGGGGGAGGCCGCGGUCUAAGUCCAUUGGAACAUGGCGUCACAGAGGGUGAGAGUCCCGUAUGCGACCGCGGAUCGAGCCCGUGUGAAACCUCUUCGACGAGUCGAGUUGUUUGGGAAUGCAGCUCAAAAUGGGUGGUAAAUUUCAUCUAAAGCUAAAUACUGGCUCAAGACCGAUAGCGCACAAGUAGAGUGAUCGAAAGAUGAAAAGCACUUUGGAAAGAGAGUCAAACAGUACGUGAAAUUGUUGAAA